This 290-nucleotide RNase P RNA is filed under the name Sphingomonadaceae bacterium. Its description in RNAcentral is "partial RNase P RNA component class A". It matches the Rfam family "Bacterial RNase P class A", at positions 1 to 262 of the family's 367-position model. From Rfam's summary of the family: Ribonuclease P (RNase P) is a ubiquitous endoribonuclease, found in archaea, bacteria and eukarya as well as chloroplasts and mitochondria. Its best characterised activity is the generation of mature 5'-ends of tRNAs by cleaving the 5'-leader elements of precursor-tRNAs. The record is from RNAcentral. Lineage: Bacteria; Pseudomonadati; Pseudomonadota; Alphaproteobacteria; Sphingomonadales; Sphingomonadaceae.
AGCGGGUGGCAGACGACCGCUGAAGUUUCUUGGGGAGCAAUUCGCAGGGCACUUCAGAGGAAAGUCCGAACACCUCCGGACAGCACACCGUGGAGAACACGCGGGCAUGCGCUUUGAAAAGGGCGUGUGACGGAAAGUGUCACAGAGAAAAUACCGCCCUGCGGCGCAAGUCGUUGGGUAAGGGUGAAAAGGCGGGGUAAGAGCCCACCGCUCGCCGAGCAAUCGGCGGGGCAUGAAAAACCCUGUGCGGUGCAAGACAGAACAGGGGAAGAGGCCGCCGGCUUCGCAGU